RNAcentral lists this ribosomal RNA (458 nucleotides) under uncultured bacterium. Its description in RNAcentral is "bacterial SSU rRNA". It matches the Rfam family "Bacterial small subunit ribosomal RNA", at positions 343 to 794 of the family's 1533-position model. The record is from RNAcentral.
GGGAGGCAGCAGUGGGGAAUCUUGCGCAAUGGGCGAAAGCCUGACGCAGCGACGCCGCGUGCGGGAAGAAGGCCUUCGGGUUGUAAACCGCUUUCAGGAGGGACGAAGCCACUCGGGUGAACAGCCCAGAGGGUGACGGUACCUCCAGAAGAAGCCCCGGCUAACUACGUGCCAGCAGCCGCGGUAAUACGUAGGGGGCAAGCGUUGUCCGGAUUCAUUGGGCGUAAAGAGCGUGUAGGCGGCCAGGUAGGUCGGUUGUGAAAACUGGAGGCUCAACCUUCAGACGUCGACCGAAACCAUCUGGCUAGAGUCCGGGAGAGGAGAGUGGAAUUCCUGGUGUAGCGGUGAAAUGCGCAGAUAUCAGGAAGAACACCCGUGGCGAAAGCGGCUCUCUGGAACGGUACUGACGCUGAGACGCGAAAGCGUGGGGAGCGAACAGGAUUAGAUACCCUGGUAGA